AGGAUAAACGCUGGCGGCGUGCCUAACACAUGCAAGUCGAACGUCUCUUCUUUCGGGAAGAGGAGUGGCGGACGGGUGAGGAACACGUGGGAACCUGCCCUUUAGUGAGGAAUACCGGCGAGAAAUCGCCGACAAUCCCGCAUAGCUUCGGGAACGAAGAAAGCAGCAAUGCGCCUGGGGAUGAGCCUGUGGCCGAUUAGCUAGCUGGUGGGGUAAUGGCUCACCAGGGCGACGAUCGGUAGCUGGUCUGAGAGGAUGAUCAGCCACACUGGGAUUGAGAACGGCCCAGACUCCUACGGGGGGCAGCAGUGAGGAAUCUUCCGCAAUGGGGGCAACCCUGACGGAGCAACGCCGCGUGCAGGAGGACGCUUUUCGGAGUGUAAACUGCUUUUCUCGAGGAAGAAAGCGGACGGUACUCGAGGAAGAAGCCCCGGCUAACUACGUGCCAGCAGUCGC
RNAcentral lists this ribosomal RNA (456 nucleotides) under uncultured bacterium. RNAcentral describes it as "SSU rRNA". It matches the Rfam family "Bacterial small subunit ribosomal RNA", at positions 26 to 518 of the family's 1533-position model. The record is from RNAcentral.